GAUGAACGCUAGCGGCAGGCUUAAUACAUGCAAGUCGUGGGGCAGCAUGAGUAGCAAUACUUGAUGGCGACCGGCAAACGGGUGAGGAACACGUACACAACCUUCCUUCAAGCGGGGAAUAGCCCAGAGAAAUUUGGAUUAAAUACCCCAUAAUAUAUUUGAUAAGGCAUCUUAUUAAUAUUAAAGCUUCGGCACUUGAUGAUGGGUGUGCGGCUGAUUAGAUAGUUGGCGGGUAACGGCCCACCAAGUCUACGAUCAGUAGCUGAUGUGAGAGCAUGAUCAGCCACACGGGCACUGAGACA
This 302-nucleotide ribosomal RNA is filed under the name uncultured bacterium. RNAcentral's name for it is "bacterial SSU rRNA". It matches the Rfam family "Bacterial small subunit ribosomal RNA", at positions 28 to 326 of the family's 1533-position model. The record is from RNAcentral.